GUCUGUGGCCAUACCACUCUAAAUGUGCCCAAUCUCAUCUGAUCUCGGAAACUAAACAGGGUCGAGCCUGGUUAGUACUUGGAUUGGGAGAAGAAUAUGACCAAAUC
This is a ribosomal RNA of Castor canadensis (American beaver), 107 nucleotides long. The record is from Ensembl. NCBI's taxonomy places the organism in Eukaryota, Metazoa, Chordata, Mammalia, Rodentia, Castoridae.